RNAcentral lists this long non-coding RNA (223 nucleotides) under Malus domestica (apple). Its description in RNAcentral is "long non-coding RNA (MDOM_LNC017906)". The record is from RNAcentral. Lineage: Eukaryota; Viridiplantae; Streptophyta; Magnoliopsida; Rosales; Rosaceae.
GGAGUGUGGUGUGGUGUGCGCUGAAUGUGGUGGGUUGAAGUCAAUCGAAAUUUCUUGAAAUACAAUGUGUGUGUUUCUAUCAAUGCAACCAAAAUUGAAACUGAACCAGUACCGAACGGUCAACUUUGUUCCACCCUAUACCGCACCGAAUCCUAUUGAAAUUUUUUCGAUUUUGAUCCAACCCCAUAUAGUACCGAACUGAAUUGUGCAUUAUCCUAAUAUC